This 270-nucleotide ribosomal RNA is filed under the name uncultured bacterium. Its description in RNAcentral is "partial 16S ribosomal RNA". It matches the Rfam family "Bacterial small subunit ribosomal RNA", at positions 32 to 285 of the family's 1533-position model. The record is from RNAcentral.
AAUCAACGCUGGCGGCGUGCCUAACACAUGCAAGUCGAACGCGAAAGUCCUGCAAGGGAUCAGUAGAGUGGCAAACGGGUGAGUAACACGUGGGUGACCUGCCUUCGAGUGGGGGAUAACGUUCCGAAAGGGACGCUAAUACCGCAUGACAUCCUGCCUUUGAAGAGGUGGAGCUUAAAGCUGGGGAUCGCAAGACCCAGCGCUUGAAGAGGGGCCCGCGGCCGAUUAGCUAGUUGGUGGGGUAACGGCUCACCAAGGCGACGAUCGGUA